AGUCGAACGGGAUCCAGGCAGCUUGCUGCCUGGUGAGAGUGGCGAACGGGUGAGUAAUGCGUGACCGACCUGCCCCAUGCACCGGAAUAGCUCCUGGAAACGGGUGGUAAUGCCGGAUGCUCCAUCACACCGCAUGGUGUGUUGGGAAAGCCUUUGCGGCAUGGGAUGGGGUCGCGUCCUAUCAGCUUGAUGGCGGGGUAACGGCCCACCAUGGCUUCGACGGGUAGCCGGCCUGAGAGGGCGACCGGCCACAUUGGGACUGAGAUACGGCCCAGACUCCUACGGGAGGCAGCAGUGGGGAAUAUUGCACAAUGGGCGCAAGCCUGAUGCAGCGACGCCGCGUGAGGGAUGGAGGCCUUCGGGUUGUAAACCUCUUUUGUUAGGGAGCAAGGCAUUUUGUGUUGAGUGUACCUUUCGAAUAAGCACCGGCUAACUACGUGCCAGCAGCCGCGGUAAUAC
RNAcentral lists this ribosomal RNA (459 nucleotides) under Bifidobacterium breve. RNAcentral's name for it is "bacterial SSU rRNA". It matches the Rfam family "Bacterial small subunit ribosomal RNA", at positions 60 to 526 of the family's 1533-position model. Lineage: Bacteria; Bacillati; Actinomycetota; Actinomycetes; Bifidobacteriales; Bifidobacteriaceae. The record is from RNAcentral.